UGCAGAAUCCCGUGAACCAUCGAGUCUUUGAACGCAAGUUGCGCCUGAGGCCAUUAGGCUAAGGGCACGUCUGCCUGGGCGUCACGC
RNAcentral lists this ribosomal RNA (87 nucleotides) under Lappula sp. US:3560521. Its description in RNAcentral is "partial 5.8S ribosomal RNA". It matches the Rfam family "5.8S ribosomal RNA", at positions 73 to 154 of the family's 154-position model. From Rfam's summary of the family: 5.8S ribosomal RNA (5.8S rRNA) is a component of the large subunit of the eukaryotic ribosome. It is transcribed by RNA polymerase I as part of the 45S precursor that also contains 18S and 28S rRNA. Functionally, it is thought that 5.8S rRNA may be involved in ribosome translocation. The record is from RNAcentral. Lineage: Eukaryota; Viridiplantae; Streptophyta; Magnoliopsida; Boraginales; Boraginaceae.